RNAcentral lists this ribosomal RNA (333 nucleotides) under Triticum aestivum (bread wheat). RNAcentral describes it as "partial small subunit ribosomal RNA". The record is from RNAcentral. Lineage: Eukaryota; Viridiplantae; Streptophyta; Magnoliopsida; Poales; Poaceae.
AUGCUUUGCACCGCCGCCACCGCAGCGCCUCGCCGUCGUAGCUGCAUAGCCGAGAGCCACCGACAGACCGCACAGCAGGAAAAACACCGCCCACCAAACACCUACAACCUGGCCAAGGAUUCGCAGCCACCCAACUCCUCCAGCAAGGGCAAGGACCACCACCGAAGGCUAUCAUCCGCUCCAAGUGACAGCCUUGCGGCGAUCCAACACCAAGUCGCGGACAACUCCCACGCCGGCACCACCGGGAGAGCACCGUCGCUCACCACACAAGCCCAGAGGUGGCCCGGACGCUCGCUGCUCGCCAGGAACUCCAUCCUAGCCGAGCCAUGUUAG